AAAUAGAUACCCGGGUAGUCCACGCCGUAAACGGUGGGCACUAGGUGUGGGCGACAUUCCACGUCGUCCGUGCCGCAGCUAACGCAUUAAGUGCCCCGCCUGGGGAGUACGGCCGCAAGGCUAAAACUCAAAGGAAUUGACGGGGGCCCGCACAAGCGGCGGAGCAUGUAGCUUAAUUCGACGCAACGCGAAGAACCUUACCAAGGCUUGACAUACACCGGAAACGUCCAGAGAUGGGCGCCCCCUUGUGGUCGGUGUACAGGUGGUGCAUGGCUGUCGUCAGCCCGUGUCGUGAGAUGUUGGGUUAAGUCCCGCAACGAGCGCAACCCUUGUCCCGUGUUGCCAGCAGGUCCCUUGUGGUGCUGGGGACUCGACGGGAGACCGCCGGGGUCAACUCGGAGGAAGGUGGGGACGACGUCAAGGUCAGUCAUGCCCCUUAUGUCUUGGGCUGCACACGUGCUACAAUGGCCGGUACAAUGAGCUGCGAUACCGCGAGGUGGAGCGAAUCUCAAAAAGCCGGUCUCAGUUCGGAUUGGGGUCUGCAACUCGACCCC
Molecule: ribosomal RNA, 554 nt
Filed under: uncultured bacterium
Lineage: Bacteria
Description: bacterial SSU rRNA
Rfam family: Bacterial small subunit ribosomal RNA
Source: RNAcentral